CAGUCGCCGCGGGAAUACGUAGGGUGCGAGCGUUAAUCGGAAUUACUGGGCGUAAAGCGUGCGCAGGCGGUUAUAUAAGACAGAUGUGAAAUCCCCGGGCUCAACCUGGGACCUGCAUUUGUGACUGUAUAGCUAGAGUACGGUAGAGGGGGAUGGAAUUCCGCGUGUAGCAGUGAAAUGCGUAGAUAUGCGGAGGAACACCGAUGGCGAAGGCAGCCCCCUGGGCCAACACUGACGCUCAUGCACGAAAGCGUAGGGAGCAAACAGGAUUAGAUACCCGCGUAGUCCCUGUCUCUUAUAC
This 301-nucleotide ribosomal RNA is filed under the name uncultured bacterium. Its description in RNAcentral is "partial 16S ribosomal RNA". It matches the Rfam family "Bacterial small subunit ribosomal RNA", at positions 509 to 807 of the family's 1533-position model. The record is from RNAcentral.